Molecule: non-coding RNA, 73 nt
Organism: Stegodyphus mimosarum
Lineage: Eukaryota; Metazoa; Arthropoda; Arachnida; Araneae; Eresidae
Source: Rfam
GCCUUCGUGGUGUAAUGGUCAGCACACUGAGCCGGUAUUUCAGAGGUCCGUGGUUCAAUUCCCGGUGAAGGAA